CAGCAUGAACUUAGCUUGCUAAGUUUGAUGGCGACCGGCGCACGGGUGAGUAACACGUAUCCAACCUGCCGAUGACUCGGGGAUAGCCUUUCGAAAGAAAGAUUAAUGCCUGAUGGUAUCUUAAGCACACAUGUAAUUAAGAUUAAAGAUUUAUCGGUAAGCGAUGGGGAUGCGUUCCAUUAGGUUGUUGGCGGGGUAACGGCCCACCAAGCCUUCGAUGGAUAGGGGUUCUGAGAGGAAGGUCCCCACAUUGGAACUGAGACACGGUCCAAACUCC
Molecule: ribosomal RNA, 277 nt
Filed under: uncultured Bacteroides sp.
Lineage: Bacteria; Pseudomonadati; Bacteroidota; Bacteroidia; Bacteroidales; Bacteroidaceae
Description: partial 16S ribosomal RNA
Rfam family: Bacterial small subunit ribosomal RNA
Source: RNAcentral